This is a long non-coding RNA of Drosophila novamexicana, 356 nucleotides long. RefSeq lists it as uncharacterized. The transcript has 2 exons. NCBI's taxonomy places the organism in Eukaryota, Metazoa, Arthropoda, Insecta, Diptera, Drosophilidae. The record is from RefSeq and is a predicted model, not a curated record.
GGAAUUUACACAGUAGUUGAUCUUAACCAACUUAUUGCAGUCGGAUGCAAACUUUACUGUCGUAACAUAUUUUUUUGUGCCUUCUAGGUUAUGUUUUAAUCAUUGUUUUAUUUAUACGUAUAUGAAAGUCGUUUGACGUCGUCGGCCACUGAGCGUUCAUCAUUUUAAGCGAGCGUUUAAAUAUCCACUUUGAUGUAUAUUUUUGGCACCAAACCCGUCACCGUAAAUGCGACACAUCUGAGAUGACAUCACGGGCGGAUUGCGUACUUUUCGCAACGCGCUUAGCGGUACUUUCGCAGCCACCACCCCAAAUAUAUACAUGCAUAUUUUUAUAAAAACAAAUAAGCUACCGAAAA